RNAcentral lists this long non-coding RNA (4882 nucleotides) under Podarcis lilfordi (Lilford's wall lizard). Lineage: Eukaryota; Metazoa; Chordata; Lepidosauria; Squamata; Lacertidae. The record is from RNAcentral.
AAAAAACCCCUGCUCCUUGAUAUCAGGAACCAUCACACAAAAUCUGGUUGUGAUAUUUUAAGAGGUGUCCAAAUGCAAAGAAGUGGCAAAGUAUAUUUCCAGGUGGGCGAGUUGUGUCCGACAUUUUAAGAGAACUGAAAGAAAAAUAUAGUGUAUGUUAAUGACAGAGAGUCCAUCAAUGGGCUGGGGUGGGGGACAAGUGGAGGGGCGAAACUCCUUGUAUGGGGGGUCAUUUGCUCUCCUGCCAACUCCCCCUGGUGCCACCCACACAUGCACGGCUUUCUUAUUUUGAGAGACAAAAGCCGUGACCUAGUCUGAGUGAGCAUCACCGGCCCUGGAGCACCAUGGUGUGGACUUUCACAAUCUGCCUUCCCUCCCUCUGCUCAUUCCCGCCAGGAUGGCAAGCCAUUCAGUAACUGCUUAUUAACACAGUCUGGAAACAACCUGACCUUUUGGCGAAGAGUAAAUCAACCAACUCAUAACUCCCUCCCAGGUGUAUUAUAUUUAUGUAUUGCAUGUGCCUAUGCAUGGAUGUGUUUGUGUAUGCAAUGCUACACAAGGUCAGUCCACUGCAGAAAAGAGAUACAUCGCUAGUUCUCUUUGGCUGCUUUCUUGUCAUUCCACCCUCCAGUUUGCUUCAUCCUGUUAAAAUAGCUGACAACAGCUAUUAAUGUAACCCCAGAUGCCCAGAUGGGUAGUAGCAAAGCGGGUUGAAAGCGAAGCCUCCUUGUUGAGGAACACUGUGUUUCAGUCCCAGUGCUAUAGAUUCUCAUUUGGAGAGAGACCCUUCUGAGUAGGCAAAGUGGUGUCGGGCUUUAUUGUACCCUACCUGUGUACCCUACCUGUGGUGGCGACAGUUGUCCACCCUACCAUACAUGCAAUAUGCCUACGUUUAGGAAGUGAAUUUGCAGGGAGCCUCACUUACAAUUCGCAGCUGUUGUUUGUGCACUCUCAGAUGCAAAUGUCCCUGAAUGAUACAAUAUGUGUGUUGGGGGGGGGAGGAAUCCAUCAGAUAUGUUGCCAAGGAAGAAGGCAAGCCCCCCACUCCUGAAAGCGUGGUGAAUGGGUACGAAUUGGGCUGCAUAUGUGCUAAAACACGUGCCUUUCCCCCCAAAGUAUCCUGGGAAUUUAUCCCUGCCUGCCUGCAGGUUUACAUUCUAAAACACACAUCACAAAAGGAAAAGGCGAUGAGGAGGAAAGAGGAAACAAGGAAGCUAGUGAUCCAGUUCUUGAACUUACACUGUAGUUCUUAUAACUUAAAACGAGCUGCUGGAAUGGAACGGUUCAGAGAGAGGAGGAGCCAAUUCAUCAUACAUUUAAAGCGCAUGGCUUUCCCCAAAGAACCCUGGGUACUGGGAAUUGUAGCUCUGUGAAGGGUAAACUACAGUUCACAGGAUUCUUUUGAGGAAAACCAUGUGCUUUAAAUGUACGGCACAUAGGAAGCCUAGGUUUACGAAACUAAACUUGCCUUGUACCCAUUUGUUACUGACAUAGCAGGUUUCGUAACAAAUGAAAACCUGAAGCCAAGGGGGCUUAUUUGGUUCUUUUUGUCAUUUGCUACAAACCAAAUGCAGCCUUCUAAAAGCCAUGCUUCCCCUAUCUGGCUCCUAUUUUUGCUGAAUAAAUUGUUUCGGACAGACAUGGCGUUAUCUCCUCGUGAUAAAUUUUGUCUUCAGUUGAGGCAGCCAGACAUAUUACACUCCCCAGAAGCAUAAACCUUUGAGCCGCCCGCUUUCCCACAAGCGCCUGUGAUAAAUAUAACCCCUUGAUGCUGCUAAUUAGGUUUAUGUGUUUGGGUGGGGGAGUGGGCUCAAGCACUUUUUGCUCCAUCCCACCCCCGCUGCUCAGGAAUCCUUCACCUGUCCUGGUCAAUGUAUUGUGGUCAAGGAGUCAGCAGCAAACAGAUCCGGCAGGAUAUAUGUCAGCUGCUUUUUAGCCUCAGAUAACUGCAAGGGGGAAAAUCGCAGAGCUGCACACUAACUUACAUAUUUGUUAAAUGAACAUGUGUUUCCUGCCUUCUGCUUUUGAACAAACCUCUCUUUGCCUCGAAAGCUUUAUUUCUAAAAAAGUAUUGUUGCUGCAGCAAACAAAAUGAAUACCCUGUGUUCUUUCCUUCCGAUAAAAAACAGCCAGACCCUCUGAUUUGUGCCCACCUCAGAGUUGACCCAUUGCAAUUGAAGGACCUAAGCGAGUUGUUUUCAUUAACUUCAGUAGACCUACUCUUGAGUCGAACUAGCAUUGGUGACAGCCCACUGUAGUUACCUUACUAGCUUAUCAUGAAAUUUGCUCACGACCACAUUUAUUCUUUCUGGGGGGGUGGGGGGCAAGCAAAGAAACCCCAAAAUUGUUGAGCUUUUCCCCCCACAUCAACACCAAAAAGAAUUCGAUUUUUGAUUUGCCGAAGAUCCAGGACAAAGCACCACAUUUCAAAAAUUCCCCCCGGACAUCAAUUCUGCCUUUGAAAUCCUAGUAAUGUCUGGGGAAAUCCGGACGUCUGGCAGCCCUAGAGUAGCCCCAUUGAAAUUAACCAUCUCCAUUAAUUUUAGUGGGGCUGCUCUGAGUAUGACUAACAUUUGAAACAACUCAAACAAACCUAUACUGGAAAGUCAUACCCUUUGACUAGGAAGCUCAUUUACCGAAACCUUGGAUGUUUGAAGGAGGCUGACUGUAGUUAGGGUGGGGGGGGAAGCAUAAUGUUAAUAUUAUUAUUGCAGCACUGAAGUUGUUACUCACAUUUACCCUUGUACUGGCAAAGUCCUUGAUAUUUGCAGGUAUGUUCUUUAAAAUUACUAGUGAGGCCCUGAGGAAGGCAUCCUGCUUGAAGGUGUCAGUGAGGUGUGGCCCUUUUGACCAGGCUUUGCUCUGUGACCUCUUUUCUGGAUUUGGGCUUGCAUCCAACCAAGCUGUGAUUAGCUGUGGUUCCCUGCAUUGCAGGUGGUUGGACUAGAUGACCUUUCUGACUCUGCAGUUCUAUGAUUCAGUGAGUCUAUAUCCCUGUAGUUCGGGGAUGAAUGGAUGCACAUCACAAGUGAGUUCUUACAGUGGCUAAUAGACUUAUAUAAUCCUAGAAUCGUAGAGGUGCAUAGAACCUCCGGCUCCCUGCAAUGCAGGAAUCAUUUGCACAACAUGACUCUGAGAAUUAGAGUCUCAUGCUCUGCCAACUGAGCUAUCCCACGUACUUUGAUCCUGUAAGGAUAAAUACGUACUGUCUGUUACGCAUCAGUCUGAGGACCUCACUGCCCUGUGUGCCUUGAGCAUAUUUCAUAUAUGCCUCAACAGAGGUUCAGUUUAAGAUUUGUGUACCAGUAUGCACUGAAUCUACAAUGUGAAGUGAGGGUGGCCUACUCUUAUUUCUGAGUAUUAAUUUUAUGCCAUUAUUUGUCUGGGUUUCCCCACCCCCACCCCAAUCUCUGCCUAUUUAAAUGUUAUUUCAUCUUUUUCCUUUAAAAGAAAUUUGAAAAAUUAUUAUCACUAUUAUUGCACCAGGAGGAAGGGUAGGGCAGCGCUGGUAGAGCACAUGCUUUGAAUGCAAAAAGUCCCAAGUUCAAUCCUGGGGCUUCCUAGUGAAGAUUGAGAAAGACAUUGGUUGCAUGUCAGUAAGAGAUGAUACUGAGCCACAUGGAACAAUGGUCUGACUCAGCAACCAGGCUAGCUGAAGGAUCGUUGUGGAUAGGGAGGGAUAUGAAAGGCUAUUCAAGCCACUGAUUUGCCUCCCACCAAUGGCAGCAUCUUGGGGACAAGGAGUCACUUGUUUAUUUUAUAAAUUUUAUAUAACGCUUGAGUGUAAAAACAACAACCCAAUAUCCUCAGAGUGGUUUGCAAAAAGAAUAAAGCAAUGAGGUUAUCAGUAAAAACUUUUUUUAAAGAAAGGGUAUGUGCUGCUGCUCUAAAAGAUUGGUUUCUUACAAAUGUGGAAUGCAUAGUAUGUAACAGUGCAGUUCCACAUAUUGCUCCAACUAAGAAUCUGUGCAUUCAACUAACUUCGACUCAGAGAAGACCCGUUGAAAUUAAUGAGCCUAAGUUAGUCAGGACCAUUCAUUCUAAUAGAUCUGCUCUCUGAAUAAGACUAGCAUUGGAUGUAACCCAACAGAAACAGUCACCAGCCCACUGGUCAGGAAGCUGACAAAUUCCAGGCAUCACCACCAGAGGGAGUGCUGCACCAAGGAGGUGGGAAGGGAAAGGGGAGUAAAGGAACUGGCAUCCCCAAAACACCAUGAACAGUGGUCACUUUCAAAAUGCAAUUGCAUGAGAUGGGGGCACACUCAUGUUUGCACGAGGGUCGCUAAAUCCUCUCAGCUGGCCUGUGAAUGAAGGUGCCCUUAAAUGAAGGCUGCAGAUGGAAAACAGGCUGUUUUAUUUAUUUUAUGCCAGUUUCCUUUUGUAUGAGGAUUGGUAGUUAGACACACAGGCCAAAUUGAGCUGGAUUUGCUGCCUUUGUUUGUGAUGGCGGGUGUGUUCGGUCGAGUGCAACAGAAGAGGCAGGGAGCAAUGCAAGAAAUUUGGCGCCAAUCUGCCCGGCUUUGAAAGAGGCGGCAUUCCAAUCCCCUUUGGCCUUAAGAGAAAGUCCUGAUUGAGUGCUUCAGCUCAGUGACCUCCCCUGACCCCUGAGAACGGGACUGCUUCUCUAGAGGCACUUCUUUUCAAUUAAUCAAAUUAACAGCUUGGAUAAAUCUGCCCACCACUUGGGACAGCUGUGACCUACUGCAGCGCCCACUUCCAAUAGCUGUCUCGGAUCAGGGCCUUUCCCCUCUGUCCUGUAGGCUUAGCACCAUCUUCUGUUAAGUACACCUUUCUAAAUAAAACAUUUUGAUGGCCUGGUUUCUGCUAGACUGUAUAUUGGCCAAUAAAAUGCCAACCUUUGCCUAAUGGGACCAUAAGUACU